RNAcentral lists this ribosomal RNA (1297 nucleotides) under Staphylococcus aureus. RNAcentral's name for it is "partial 23S ribosomal RNA". It matches the Rfam family "Bacterial large subunit ribosomal RNA", at positions 153 to 1452 of the family's 2925-position model. Lineage: Bacteria; Bacillati; Bacillota; Bacilli; Caryophanales; Staphylococcaceae. The record is from RNAcentral.
GAUAUGUGAAUACAUAGCAUAUCAGAAGGCACACCCGGAGAACUGAAACAUCUUAGUACCCGGAGGAAGAGAAAGAAAAUUCGAUUCCCUUAGUAGCGGCGAGCGAAACGGGAAGAGCCCAAACCAACAAGCUUGCUUGUUGGGGUUGUAGGACACUCUAUACGGAGUUACAAAGGACGACAUUAGACGAAUCAUCUGGAAAGAUGAAUCAAAGAAGGUAAUAAUCCUGUAGUCGAAAAUGUUGUCUCUCUUGAGUGGAUCCUGAGUACGACGGAGCACGUGAAAUUCCGUCGGAAUCUGGGAGGACCAUCUCCUAAGGCUAAAUACUCUCUAGUGACCGAUAGUGAACCAGUACCGUGAGGGAAAGGUGAAAAGCACCCCGGAAGGGGAGUGAAAUAGAACCUGAAACCGUGUGCUUACAAGUAGUCAGAGCCCGUUAAUGGGUGAUGGCGUGCCUUUUGUAGAAUGAACCGGCGAGUUACGAUUUGAUGCAAGGUUAAGCAGUAAAUGUGGAGCCGUAGCGAAAGCGAGUCUGAAUAGGGCGUUUAGUAUUUGGUCGUAGACCCGAAACCAGGUGAUCUACCCUUGGUCAGGUUGAAGUUCAGGUAACACUGAAUGGAGGACCGAACCGACUUACGUUGAAAAGUGAGCGGAUGAACUGAGGGUAGCGGAGAAAUUCCAAUCGAACCUGGAGAUAGCUGGUUCUCUCCGAAAUAGCUUUAGGGCUAGCCUCAAGUGAUGAUUAUUGGAGGUAGAGCACUGUUUGGACGAGGGGCCCCUCUCGGGUUACCGAAUUCAGACAAACUCCGAAUGCCAAUUAAUUUAACUUGGGAGUCAGAACAUGGGUGAUAAGGUCCGUGUUCGAAAGGGAAACAGCCCAGACCACCAGCUAAGGUCCCAAAAUAUAUGUUAAGUGGAAAAGGAUGUGGCGUUGCCCAGACAACUAGGAUGUUGGCUUAGAAGCAGCCAUCAUUUAAAGAGUGCGUAAUAGCUCACUAGUCGAGUGACACUGCGCCGAAAAUGUACCGGGGCUAAACAUAUUACCGAAGCUGUGGAUUGUCCUUUGGACAAUGGUAGGAGAGCGUUCUAAGGGCGUUGAAGCAUGAUCGUAAGGACAUGUGGAGCGCUUAGAAGUGAGAAUGCCGGUGUGAGUAGCGAAAGACGGGUGAGAAUCCCGUCCACCGAUUGACUAAGGUUUCCAGAGGAAGGCUCGUCCGCUCUGGGUUAGUCGGGUCCUAAGCUGAGGCCGACAGGCGUAGGCGAUGGAUAACAGGUUGAUAUUCCUGUACCACCUAUA